CCUGGUGGCUCAGAUGGUAAAGCGUCUGCCUGCAAUGCAGGAGACCUGGGUUUAAUCCCUGGGUCAGGA
RNAcentral lists this transfer RNA (69 nucleotides) under Bos taurus (domestic cattle). It matches the Rfam family "tRNA". From Rfam's summary of the family: Transfer RNA (tRNA) molecules are approximately 80 nucleotides in length. Their secondary structure includes four short double-helical elements and three loops (D, anti-codon, and T loops). The record is from Rfam by way of RNAcentral. Lineage: Eukaryota; Metazoa; Chordata; Mammalia; Artiodactyla; Bovidae. RNAcentral also lists the same sequence under 1 other name.